This 235-nucleotide long non-coding RNA is filed under the name Homo sapiens (human). RNAcentral's name for it is "long non-coding RNA NONHSAT183629.1". The record is from RNAcentral. Lineage: Eukaryota; Metazoa; Chordata; Mammalia; Primates; Hominidae.
CCAGAACACCCUGGGCUGUUACUUGCCUUGAGUUGGAAACAGUUUGCAUUUACACCUGUAAAUUUAUUCAUCCUUCUAAUUUAUGUAAGGUUUUUUUUUUUGGUAUGCAAUUCUUGAUUCUUUAAGAGGUGACAACAAAUUUUGGUUUUCUACUGUUAUGUGAGAACAUUAGGCCCAAGCAACAAGUCAUUGCGUAAGAAAACGUAGAGUGCUACUGCUGUUUAAAAAAAAAAAA